This 487-nucleotide ribosomal RNA is filed under the name Clostridioides difficile. RNAcentral describes it as "bacterial LSU rRNA". It matches the Rfam family "Bacterial large subunit ribosomal RNA", at positions 1836 to 2321 of the family's 2925-position model. Lineage: Bacteria; Bacillati; Bacillota; Clostridia; Peptostreptococcales; Peptostreptococcaceae. The record is from RNAcentral.
AGACGAUGGAUAGGAGCUGACGCCUGCCCGGUGCUGGAAGGUUAAGGGGAUCUGUUAGAGUAAUCGAAGCAGGGAACUUAAGCCCCAGUAAACAGCGGCCGUAACUAUAACGGUCCUAAGGUAUCGACAUUCCUUGUCGGGUAAGUUCCGACCAGCACGAAAGGCGUAACGAUUUGGGCACUGUCUCAACAACAGACUCGGUGAACUUGUAAUUCCGUUAAAGAUGCCGGCUACCUGCGACAGGACGGAAAGAACCCAUGGAGCUUUACUGUAGCUUGACAUUGGGUCUUGGUACUACCUGUACAGGAUAGGUGGGAGGCUUUGAAACCCGGACGCCAGUUUUGGCGGAGCCAUCCUUUGGAUACCACCCUUGUAGUACUUGGACUCUAACCAUAGUCCAUGACACUGUGCGUGGGACACUGCCAGGAGGGCAGGUUUCCGGCGGCGGUCCGUCCCCGACACGUACCCGAGUCGCUACAUGGUUCUC